This 1574-nucleotide ribosomal RNA is filed under the name Escherichia coli. RNAcentral describes it as "partial 23S ribosomal RNA". It matches the Rfam family "Bacterial large subunit ribosomal RNA", at positions 1241 to 2797 of the family's 2925-position model. Lineage: Bacteria; Pseudomonadati; Pseudomonadota; Gammaproteobacteria; Enterobacterales; Enterobacteriaceae. The record is from RNAcentral.
CUGUAAGCCUGUGAAGGUGGCCUGUGAGGGUUGCUGGAGGUAUCAGAAGUGCGAAUGCUGACAUAAGUAACGAUAAAGCGGGUGAAAAGCCCGCUCGCCGGAAGACCAAGGGUUCCUGUCCAACGUUAAUCGGGGCAGGGUGAGUCGACCCCUAAGGCGAGGCCGAAAGGCGUAGUCGAUGGGAAACAGGUUAAUAUUCCUGUACUUGGUGUUACUGCGAAGGGGGGACGGAGAAGGCUAUGUUGGCCGGGCGACGGUUGUCCCGGUUUAAGCGUGUAGGCUGGUUUUCCAGGCAAAUCCGGAAAACCAAGGCUGAGGCGUGAUGACGAGGCACUACGGUGCUGAAGCGACAAAUGCCCUGCUUCCAGGAAAAGCCUCUAAGCAUCAGGUAACAUCAAAUCGUACCCCAAACCGACACAGGUGGUCAGGUAGAGAAUACCAAGGCGCUUGAGAGAACUCGGGUGAAGGAACUAGGCAAAAUGGUGCCGUAACUUCGGGAGAAGGCACGCUGAUAUGUAGGUGAAGCGACUUGCUCGUGGAGCUGAAAUCAGUCGAAGAUACCAGCUGGCUGCAACUGUUUAUUAAAAACACAGCACUGUGCAAACACGAAAGUGGACGUAUACGGUGUGACGCCUGCCCGGUGCCGGAAGGUUAAUUGAUGGGGUUAGCGGCAACGCGAAGCUCUUGAUCGAAGCCCCGGUAAACGGCGGCCGUAACUAUAACGGUCCUAAGGUAGCGAAAUUCCUUGUCGGGUAAGUUCCGACCUGCACGAAUGGCGUAAUGAUGGCCAGGCUGUCUCCACCCGAGACUCAGUGAAAUUGAACUCGCUGUGAAGAUGCAGUGUACCCGCGGCAAGACGGAAAGACCCCGUGAACCUUUACUAUAGCUUGACACUGAACAUUGAGCCUUGAUGUGUAGGAUAGGUGGGAGGCUUUGAAGUGUGGACGCCAGUCUGCAUGGAGCCGACCUUGAAAUACCACCCUUUAAUGUUUGAUGUUCUAACGUUGGCCCGUAAUCCGGGUUGCGGACAGUGUCUGGUGGGUAGUUUGACUGGGGCGGUCUCCUCCUAAAGAGUAACGGAGGAGCACGAAGGUUGGCUAAUCCUGGUCGGACAUCAGGAGGUUAGUGCAAUGGCAUAAGCCAGCUUGACUGCGAGCGUGACGGCGCGAGCAGGUGCGAAAGCAGGUCAUAGUGAUCCGGUGGUUCUGAAUGGAAGGGCCAUCGCUCAACGGAUAAAAGGUACUCCGGGGAUAACAGGCUGAUACCGCCCAAGAGUUCAUAUCGACGGCGGUGUUUGGCACCUCGAUGUCGGCUCAUCACAUCCUGGGGCUGAAGUAGGUCCCAAGGGUAUGGCUGUUCGCCAUUUAAAGUGGUACGCGAGCUGGGUUUAGAACGUCGUGAGACAGUUCGGUCCCUAUCUGCCGUGGGCGCUGGAGAACUGAGGGGGGCUGCUCCUAGUACGAGAGGACCGGAGUGGACGCAUCACUGGUGUUCGGGUUGUCAUGCCAAUGGCACUGCCCGGUAGCUAAAUGCGGAAGAGAUAAGUGCUGAAAGCAUCUAAGCACGAAACUUGC